Non-coding RNA from Pelobates cultripes (western spadefoot toad), 168 nucleotides. Lineage: Eukaryota; Metazoa; Chordata; Amphibia; Anura; Pelobatidae. The record is from the annotation of a GenBank genome assembly.
GCAGACAGAUUCCAGCCAAUCAGCAGCAGACUCUCCCUCCCAGACCCUCCCACCUCCUGGACAGCAUCCAUUUUACAUUCAUUGUGAAGCUGCAUUCUUAGUGAGCUGUCCAGGAGGUGGGAGGGUCUGGGAGGGAGGGUCUGCUGCUGAUUGGCUGGAAUGUGUCUG